CCGCGGUGGCGCACCGCGGGGUCGCCGAUCAGGGCGGCGAGCUCGGUCAGGGCCGGGAUCGCCUCCCGGAUCUCGGCC
Molecule: transfer RNA, 78 nt
Filed under: Methylobacterium crusticola
Lineage: Bacteria; Pseudomonadati; Pseudomonadota; Alphaproteobacteria; Hyphomicrobiales; Methylobacteriaceae
Description: tRNA-Leu
Source: RNAcentral